This 492-nucleotide ribosomal RNA is filed under the name uncultured bacterium. Its description in RNAcentral is "partial 16S ribosomal RNA". It matches the Rfam family "Bacterial small subunit ribosomal RNA", at positions 29 to 507 of the family's 1533-position model. The record is from RNAcentral.
AGUGAACGCUGGCGGUAGGCCUAACACAUGCAAGUCGAACGGCAGCACAGUAAGAGCCUGCUCUUACGGGUGGUGAGUGGCGGACGGGUGAGGAAUACAUCGGAAUCUACUUUUUCGUGGGGGAUAACGUAGGGAAACUUACGCUAAUACCGCAUACGACCUACGGGUGAAAGCAGGGGAUCUUCGGACCUUGCGCGAUUGAAUGAGCCGAUGUCGGAUUAGCUAGUUGGCGGGGUAAAGGCCCACCAAGGCGACGAUCCGUAGCUGGUCUGAGAGGAUGAUCAGCCACACUGGAACUGAGACACGGUCCAGACUCCUACGGGAGGCAGCAGUGGGGAAUAUUGGACAAUGGGCGCAAGCCUGAUCCAGCCAUACCGCGUGGGUGAAGAAGGCCUUCGGGUUGUAAAGCCCUUUUGUUGGGAAAGAAAAGCAGCAGGUUAAUACCCCGCUGUUCUGACGGUACCCAAAGAAUAAGCACCGGCUAACUUCGUG